GAUGAAGAACGCAGCGAAUUGCGAUAAGUAAUGUGAAUUGCAGAUUUUCAGUGAAUCAUCGAAUCUUUGAACGCACCUUGCGCUCCUUGGUAUUCCGAGGAGCAUGCCUGUUUGAGUGUCAUGAAAUUCUCAACCUUUUCAGCUUUCUUUGUUGAUCAGGCUUGGAUGUGGGAGUAUGCGGGCUUCUCAGAAGUCGGCUCUCCUGAAAUGCAUUAGCGGGACCUUUGUUGCCUGGCUUUGGUGUGAUAAUUAUCUACGCCAUUGUAGUCAAGCAGCUUAAAAUGAGGUUUCAGCUUCUAACCGUCUCCCCUGAGACAACUUUUUGACAAUUUGACCUCAAAUCAUGUAGGACUACCCGCUGAACUUAAGCAUAUCAAUAAGCGGAGGA
RNAcentral lists this unclassified non-coding RNA (388 nucleotides) under soil metagenome. Its description in RNAcentral is "partial contains 5.8S ribosomal RNA, internal transcribed spacer 2, and large subunit ribosomal RNA". The stretch from base 1 to 121 matches the Rfam family "5.8S ribosomal RNA", at positions 35 to 154 of the family's 154-position model. The record is from RNAcentral.